This 229-nucleotide ribosomal RNA is filed under the name uncultured bacterium. RNAcentral describes it as "partial 16S ribosomal RNA". It matches the Rfam family "Bacterial small subunit ribosomal RNA", at positions 568 to 796 of the family's 1533-position model. The record is from RNAcentral.
UACGUAGGCGGAAAAUUAAGUCAGUAGUGAAAUCCUGCAGCUUAACUGUAGAACUGUUAUUGAUACUGGUUUUCUUGAAUAUAGCUGAGGUAGGCGGAAUGUGUAAUGUAGCGGUGAAAUGCUUAGAUAUUACACAGAACACCGAUUGCGAAGGCAGCUUACUAAACUAUGAUUGACGCUGAGGUACGAAAGCGUGGGGAGCGAACAGGAUUAGAUACCCUGGUAGUCC